This 317-nucleotide ribosomal RNA is filed under the name uncultured eukaryote. Its description in RNAcentral is "partial 18S ribosomal RNA". It matches the Rfam family "Eukaryotic small subunit ribosomal RNA", at positions 1470 to 1796 of the family's 1831-position model. The record is from RNAcentral.
CCCUUAGAUGUUCUGGGCCGCACGCGCGCUACACUGAUCAGUGCAACAAGCAUCCGUCCUUGGCCGACAGGCCCGGGCAAUCUUUGAACGCUGAUCGUGAUGGGGAUAGACUUUUGCAAUUUUUGGUCUUCAACGAGGAAUUCCUAGUAAACGCAAGUCAUCAACUUGCAUUGAUUACGUCCCUGCCCUUUGUACACACCGCCCGUCGCACCUACCGAUUGAAUGGUCCGGUGAAGCCUCCGGAUUGGCGUGCACCCUCGGGUGCUGCCGAGAAGUUGGCUAAACCUUAACAUUUAGAGGAAGGUGAAGUCGUAACA